This 328-nucleotide ribosomal RNA is filed under the name uncultured bacterium. RNAcentral describes it as "bacterial SSU rRNA". It matches the Rfam family "Bacterial small subunit ribosomal RNA", at positions 29 to 369 of the family's 1533-position model. The record is from RNAcentral.
AGCGAACGCUGGCGGCAGGCCUAAUACAUGCAAGUCGAACGAAGCCUUCGGGCUUAGUGGCGGACGGGUGAGUAACACGUGGGAACGUACCCUUUGGUUCGGAACAACUCAGGGAAACUUGAGCUAAUACCGAAUGUGCCCCCAUCCUUAACAAGAUGGGUGGGAAAGAUUUAUCACCAUUGGAGCGGCCCGCGUCUGAUUAGCUAGUUGGUGAGGUAAAGGCCCACCAAGGCUACGAUCAGUAGCUGGUCUGAGAGGAUGAUCAGCCACACUGGGACUGAGACACGGCCCAGACUCCUACGGGAGGCAGCAGUAGGGAAUCUUGCGC